RNAcentral lists this long non-coding RNA (935 nucleotides) under Pogona vitticeps (central bearded dragon). RNAcentral describes it as "lncRNA (ENSPVIG00000013769.1)". The record is from RNAcentral. Lineage: Eukaryota; Metazoa; Chordata; Lepidosauria; Squamata; Agamidae.
GGCUUCCUAAUUAAGUCCCGCGCAGGGCACAGCCUGUCACGGGCGGCUAAUUGUCCGGAGUGCAAAGCGUGGGGGCGCGCUGCCUUUUUUUCCCUCCCCCCUCCCUCCUUCCCUCCCCCCCCCCCAAUGUUUUGGUGCUGGUGGGAGAGGGGAGCUGCUCACGCCCCUGACCAGCCUUCCCCGGGGCCGGUGCCAAGACGCCUUGUUCACCAGCGCCUCCCCUGGAAGAGCCGCCGCCUGCGGACAUCUUCGCUUUCGCCAAGGUACCGGGGAGUCUCCUCUCCCGGGUUAACCAUCUCGGCCUCGGCUCCCCAGAGGAAGCGGGCCGACUCCCUUUGGGGUUGGGGCUGGGGGGCUGGGAAGGAAUUUGCCACCGUCUUCCCCAAAGGGGGGCCUCCCAUCCUUGCAGUUGCGAACCGCUAAGGGUUGGUUUGCAGGGGAGCGCCACCCGGAGGUGAACCGAAGCCCCCUUUCCAUCACCGAGAUAGGCUGCCUUCUCUCUCCCGCCCCCAGCCCGGGAAACCGCGGGCAGCAACGCCUAUAGAGAUCUCUGGGAGAGUGCGGCGGAGAUCACAGGGCCAGGGGGCUUUCUUUCCUUCGCGCGAUCCUUGAUGUCCCUUUUCACGCUCAUAAACCGAGCAGUCGAAGCAAAGCGAAGCAGGACCUGGCUCAGGAGAGGACGGAAGGAGGGGGGGAGGGAGGAAGCCACACGCCAAGGGCAGCGUCCCAUCCACAGCGAGGGUUGCCAACAGGACCCGGGACGAAUAGCGAUGCCGCCGCGAGGACGUCUGCUCGGGAUGCCGGGGCGGAAGCUCUUGGCUCUGAAGAGAAGCGCUCUCUCGCCCGGGGUUGUGGAAAAGCGACUGGAUGGUCUUCGGUGGCCGCAGUCCAGGAGGAGAGAGGACCCAAGGGAGCGGAGGGAGGCUGGUCAUUGA